UACGUAGGGUGCGAGCGUUAAUCGGAAUUACUGGGCGUAAAGGGUGCGCAGGCGGUUAUAUAAGACAGAUGUGAAAUCCCCGGGCUCAACCUGGGGAACUGCGUUUGUGACUGUAUGACUAGAGUACGGUAGAGAGGGGUGGAAUUCCUGGUGUAGCAGUGAAAUGCGUAGAUAUCAGGAGGAACAUCGAUGGCGAAGGCA
Molecule: ribosomal RNA, 201 nt
Filed under: uncultured bacterium
Lineage: Bacteria
Description: partial 16S ribosomal RNA
Rfam family: Bacterial small subunit ribosomal RNA
Source: RNAcentral